Molecule: ribosomal RNA, 253 nt
Filed under: uncultured bacterium
Lineage: Bacteria
Description: partial 16S ribosomal RNA
Rfam family: Bacterial small subunit ribosomal RNA
Source: RNAcentral
UACGUAGGGGGCAAGCGUUGUCCGGAAUCAUUGGGCGUAAAGAGCGUGUAGGCGGCCCGAUAAGUCCGCUGUGAAAGUCCAGGGCUCAACCCUGGAAUGCCGGUGGAUACUGUCGGGCUCGAAUCCGGAAGAGGUGAGUGGAAUUCCUGGUGUAGCGGUGAAAUGCGCAGAUAUCAGGAGGAACACCAAUGGCGAAGGCAGCUCACUGGGACGGUAUUGACGCUGAGGCGCGAAAGCCAGGGGAGCAAACGGG